This 761-nucleotide ribosomal RNA is filed under the name uncultured Prevotella sp. RNAcentral's name for it is "bacterial SSU rRNA". It matches the Rfam family "Bacterial small subunit ribosomal RNA", at positions 28 to 776 of the family's 1533-position model. Lineage: Bacteria; Pseudomonadati; Bacteroidota; Bacteroidia; Bacteroidales; Prevotellaceae. The record is from RNAcentral.
GAUGAACGCUAGCUAUAGGCUUAACACAUGCAAGUCGAGGGGAAACGGCAUUAUGUGCUUGCACAUUUUGGACGUCGACCGGCGCACGGGUGAGUAUCGCGUAUCCAACCUGCCCUUUACUUGGGGAUACCCCGUUGAAAGACGGCCUAAUACCCGAUGUAAUUCAUUGAUGGCAUCAGAUAUGAAUAAAAGAUUUAUCGGUAAAGGAUGGGGAUGCGUCUGAUUAGCUUGUUGGUGAGGUAACGGCUCACCAAGGCAACGAUCAGUAGGGGUUCUGAGAGGAAGGUCCCCCACAUUGGAACUGAGACACGGUCCAAACUCCUACGGGAGGCAGCAGUGAGGAAUAUUGGUCAAUGGGCGGAAGCCUGAACCAGCCAAGUAGCGUGCAGGAAGACGGCCCUAUGGGUUGUAAACUGCUUUUAUACGAGAAUAAUUUGAUGCACGUGUGCGUUAUUGCAUGUAUCGUAUGAAUAAGGACCGGCUAAUUCCGUGCCAGCAGCCGCGGUAAUACGGAAGGUCCAGGCGUUAUCCGGAUUUAUUGGGUUUAAAGGGAGUGUAGGCGGUUUGUUAAGCGUGUUGUGAAAUUUAGAUGCUCAACAUUUAACUUGCAGCGCGAACUGUCAGACUUGAGUACACGCAACGUAUGCGGAAUUCAUGGUGUAGCGGUGAAAUGCUUAGAUAUCAUGAAGAGCUCCGAUUGCGAAGGCAGCAUACGGGAGUGUAACUGACGCUUAAGCUCGAAGGUGCGGGUAUCGAACAGG